UACAGAGUUCGAUCUGCUUGUUAGCGAUUUGACCUGAGAAACGACGUAUAGAAUAGAUUGGGAAACGAAUUUCUGUUGCUGCGGUGACCGACUUUGUACGGAGGCUUGUCUAUGAAAGAAAAAUGUUGAAGAAGAUGAAGUUUAGAGUAUCCUCAAUAACUUUAUUUGACAGGAAACAGUUUGAAACAACCCAGGGUUUCAGAUACUUCUUUUACAUGGUCCUUUUUUGUUUUCCUUUCAUUCUGCUACUUUACAGCUUUGUAAACGAUGGAGAAAC
Molecule: long non-coding RNA, 277 nt
Organism: Corticium candelabrum
Lineage: Eukaryota; Metazoa; Porifera; Homoscleromorpha; Homosclerophorida; Plakinidae
Exons: 3
Source: RefSeq, a predicted model, not a curated record